Molecule: ribosomal RNA, 500 nt
Filed under: uncultured Eubacteriales bacterium
Lineage: Bacteria; Bacillati; Bacillota; Clostridia; Eubacteriales
Description: uncultured Clostridiales bacterium partial 16S ribosomal RNA
Source: RNAcentral
CACGUAGUUAGCCGGGGCUUCUUGGUCAGGUACCGUCAUCUUCUUCCCUGCCGAUAGGGCUUUACGCGCCGAAACGCUCCUCCACCCACGCGGCGUCGCUGCAUCAGGGUUCCCCCCAUUGUGCAAUAUCCCCCACUGCUGCCUCCCGUAGGAGUCUGGGCCGUGUCUCAGUCCCAGUGUGGCCGUCCACCCUCUCAGGCCGGCUACUGAUCGUCGCCUUGGUAGGCCGUUACCCUGCCAACCAGCUAAUCAGACGCGGGCCCAUCCUGUACCACCGGGGUUUUCCGCGCCAUGCCAUGCGGCACGCCGCGCUUAUGCGGUAUUAGCACCUGUUUCCAGGUGUUAUCCCCCAGUACAGGGCAGGUUGCCCACGCGUUACUCACCCGUCCGCCACUCGCGCGGCGCCGCAGGGGCCGAGGCCCCUGCCGCACGCCGCGCCCGUUCGACUUGCAUGUGUUAGGCACGCCGCCAGCGUUCAUCCUGAGCCAGGAUCAAACUCU